Molecule: ribosomal RNA, 253 nt
Filed under: uncultured bacterium
Lineage: Bacteria
Description: partial 16S ribosomal RNA
Rfam family: Bacterial small subunit ribosomal RNA
Source: RNAcentral
UACGUAGGCAGCAAGCGUUGUUCGGAGUUACUGGGCGUAAAGGGUGCGUAGGCUGCGCGGAAAGUUGGGUGUGAAAUCCCUCGGCUCAACCGAGGAACUGCGCCCAAAACUGCCGUGCUCGAGGGAGACAGAGGUGAGCGGAACUUAGGGUGGAGCGGUGAAAUGCGUUGAUAUCCUAAGGAACACCGGUGGCGAAAGCGGCUCACUGGGUCUCUUCUGACGCUGAGGCACGAAAGCUAGGGUAGCGAACGGG